RNAcentral lists this ribosomal RNA (492 nucleotides) under uncultured bacterium. Its description in RNAcentral is "partial 16S ribosomal RNA". It matches the Rfam family "Bacterial small subunit ribosomal RNA", at positions 29 to 507 of the family's 1533-position model. The record is from RNAcentral.
AGUGAACGCUGGCGGUAGGCCUAACACAUGCAAGUCGAACGGCAGCACAGUAAGAGCUUGCUCUUACGGGUGGCGAGUGGCGGACGGGUGAGGAAUACAUCGGAAUCUACUUUUUCGUGGGGGAUAACGUAGGGAAACUUACGCUAAUACCGCAUACGACCUACGGGUGAAAGCAGGGGAUCUUCGGACCUUGCGCGAUUGAAUGAGCCGAUGUCGGAUUAGCUAGUUGGCGGGGGAAAGGCCCACCAAGGCGACGAUCCGUAGCUGGUCUGAGAGGAUGAUCAGCCACACUGGAACUGAGACACGGUCCAGACUCCUACGGGAGGCAGCAGUGGGGAAUAUUGGACAAUGGGCGCAAGCCUGAUCCAGCCAUACCGCGUGGGUGAAGAAGGCCUUCGGGUUGUAAAGCCCUUUUGUUGGGAAAGAAAAGCAGCAGGCUAAUACCCCGCUGUUCUGACGGUACCCAAAGAAUAAGCACCGGCUAACUUCGUG